This 436-nucleotide ribosomal RNA is filed under the name uncultured bacterium. RNAcentral describes it as "bacterial SSU rRNA". It matches the Rfam family "Bacterial small subunit ribosomal RNA", at positions 917 to 1350 of the family's 1533-position model. The record is from RNAcentral.
GGACCCGCACAAGCGGUGGAGUAUGUGGCUUAAUUCGAUGCAACGCGAAGAACCUUACCUAGGCUUGACAUGCUUGUCGUACUCUCCCGAAAAGGAGAGGUCACUUCGGGUGGACAAUGCACAGGUGCUGCAUGGCCGUCGUCAGCUCGUGUCGUGAGAUGUUUGGUUAAGUCCAGCAACGAGCGCAACCCCUGUGAACUGUUGCCAGCGCGUAAAGGCGGGGACUCUGUUCAGACUGCCCAGAUCAACUGGGAGGAAGGUGGGGACGACGUCAGGUCAGUAUGGCCCUUACGCCUAGGGCUGCACACGUACUACAAUGCCCAGCACAAUGAGAACCGAGACCGCAAGGUGGAGGAAAUCUGCAAAACUGGGCCCAGUUCGGAUUGGAGGCUGCAACUCGCCUCCAUGAAGUCGGAAUCGCUAGUAAUCGCAGGUC